CGUCUAUAUACGUAUAGCAUAUCAAUAAGCGGAGGAAAAGAAACUAACUAGGAUUCCCUCAGUAACGGCGAGUGAAGCGGGAAGAGCUCAAAUUUGAAAUCUUCAAGGUUUCUACCUUGACGAAUUGUAGUUUAAAGAAGUGUUUUCUGUUAGAUGAGUAGCAAAAGUUCUUUGGAAUAGGACAUCAUAGAGGGUGAGAAUCCCGUAUUUGGUCAUUCCUCCUAGCGUUGUGAUACACUUUCAACGAGUCGGAUUGUUUGGGAAUGCAGUCCAAAAUGGGUGGUAAAUUUCAUCUAAAGCUAAAUAUUGGCGAGAGACCGAUAGCGAACAAGUACCGUGAGGGAAAGAUGAAAAGAACUUUGAAAAGAGAGUUAAACAGUACGUGAAAUUGUCAAAAGGGAAGCGUUUGACACCAGUGUUGUUUUUCCGAAAAUCAAUUACGAAUGUUUUAUUUUUGAGGAGUUAUGACUUCAUCGGCUUGCUCCUUUCUUUAUGAAACUUUCUUAAUGCACUUUUCGGUUAACAAGUCAACAUCAAUUUCUUUUGUUGUAAAAGGGUCAUGAGGAAGGUGGCUUUCUUUUCGGAGAAAGUGUUUAUAGCCUUGUGCCUCUGCAAUCGGAGAGAUUGAGGUCUGCAGCGUAGAUCCUUCGGGGUUAGAUACGUUUGUGCUAAGUUAUAGCCUUUCAUAGACGACUUGUUGACUAUGAUCAGUCAUGUAGCUUACUCGCUUAUGCUAUUUUACCUACGCUUAGGAUGUUGAUGUGAUACUGCGAGCA
This 776-nucleotide ribosomal RNA is filed under the name uncultured Neocallimastigales. RNAcentral describes it as "partial large subunit ribosomal RNA". It matches the Rfam family "Eukaryotic large subunit ribosomal RNA", at positions 26 to 646 of the family's 3401-position model. The record is from RNAcentral. Lineage: Eukaryota; Fungi; Neocallimastigomycota; Neocallimastigomycetes; Neocallimastigales.